ACCGGUGAUGAUGAUAAAUGUAGCUCUGA
This 29-nucleotide small RNA is filed under the name Arabidopsis thaliana (thale cress). RNAcentral's name for it is "ATSL119070". The record is from RNAcentral. Lineage: Eukaryota; Viridiplantae; Streptophyta; Magnoliopsida; Brassicales; Brassicaceae.